RNAcentral lists this ribosomal RNA (266 nucleotides) under uncultured archaeon. RNAcentral describes it as "partial 16S ribosomal RNA". It matches the Rfam family "Archaeal small subunit ribosomal RNA", at positions 723 to 982 of the family's 1478-position model. The record is from RNAcentral.
ACUGACUAUUAGACUACCCCUGUACGUCCGAGGGUAGUAAACGCUGCAGACUUGGUGUUGGAGCCCGUUUGGGGGCAUUCAGUGCCGGAGAGAAGUUGUUAAGCCUGCUGCUUGGGGAGUAUGUCCGCAAGGAUGAAACUUAAAGGAAUUGGCGGGGGAGCACAACAACGGGCGGAGCUUGCGGUUUAAUUGGAUUCAACGCCGGAAAUCUUACCGGGACCGACAGCAACAUGAAGGCCAAGCUGAAGACUUUGCCGGAUUAGCUG